UACGUAGGGGGCAAGCGUUGUCCGGAUUUAUUGGGCGUAAAGCGCGUGUAGGCGGCUGGGUAGGUCCGCUGUGAAAACUCGAGGCUCAACCUCGAGACGUCGGCGGAAACCAUCCAGCUAGAGUCCGGAAGAGGAGAGUGGAAUUCCUGGUGUAGCGGUGAAAUGCGCAGAUAUCAGGAAGAACACCCGUGGCGAAAGCGGCUCUCUGGGACGGUACUGACGCUGAGACGCGAAAGCGUGGGGAGCGAACAGG
RNAcentral lists this ribosomal RNA (253 nucleotides) under uncultured bacterium. RNAcentral describes it as "partial 16S ribosomal RNA". It matches the Rfam family "Bacterial small subunit ribosomal RNA", at positions 524 to 776 of the family's 1533-position model. The record is from RNAcentral.